UGAAAUUUACCUCGAUCGACGGUCGGAAAACUCCUCGGUGCGGCGGCGGGUGGCGGCGGCCGGCUCCUCCGGCGUCUGGUUCGUCUUCUCCGGCGAGGGCAGGCGGCUAGGAUUUUUGUGGUUAGGUGUGGGGGUUCUAUUUAUACCCUUUUGCCUUUUGAUCUCAACCGUCCAUUUUGAUUAAAUAUGACCCGUCCGUUUUUGAUUGAAUCUGGGCCGUCCGUGCGCGUGCAU
This 234-nucleotide long non-coding RNA is filed under the name Carica papaya (papaya). Its description in RNAcentral is "long non-coding RNA (CPAP_LNC015002)". The record is from RNAcentral. Lineage: Eukaryota; Viridiplantae; Streptophyta; Magnoliopsida; Brassicales; Caricaceae.